This 495-nucleotide ribosomal RNA is filed under the name uncultured bacterium. Its description in RNAcentral is "partial 16S ribosomal RNA". It matches the Rfam family "Bacterial small subunit ribosomal RNA", at positions 28 to 523 of the family's 1533-position model. The record is from RNAcentral.
GAUGAACGCUGGCGGCGUGCUUAACACAUGCAAGUCGAACGAAGCGCUAGAGAUUGAUUCUUCGGAAGAUUUCUCUUGUGACUUAGUGGCGGACGGGUGAGUAACGCGUGGGUAACCUGCCUCACACAGGGGGAUAACAGUUGGAAACGACCGCUAAUACCGCAUAACCCGCUAGGGCCGCAUGGCCCGGACGGAAAAGAUUUAUCGGUGUGAGAUGGACCCGCGUUGGAUUAGCUAGUUGGCAGGGUAACGGCCUACCAAGGCGACGAUCCAUAGCCGGCCUGAGAGGGUGAACGGCCACAUUGGGACUGAGACACGGCCCAAACUCCUACGGGAGGCAGCAGUGGGGAAUAUUGCACAAUGGGGGAAACCCUGAUGCAGCGACGCCGCGUGAGUGAAGAAGUAUUUCGGUAUGUAAAGCUCUAUCAGCAGGGAAGAAAAUGACGGUACCUGACUAAGAAGCCCCGGCUAACUACGUGCCAGCCGCCGCGGUAA